CCUACGGGACGCAGCAGUGGGGGAUAUUGCACAAUGGGGGGAACCCUGAUGCAGCGACGCCGCGUGGGUGAAGAAGCGCCUCGGCGCGUAAAGCCCUGUCAGCAGGGAAGAAAAUGACGGUACCUGAAGAAGAAGCCCCGGCUAACUACGUGCCAGCAGCCGCGGUAAUACGUAGGGGGCAAGCGUUAUCCGGAUUUACUGGGUGUAAAGGGGGCGCAGACGGCGAUGCAAGCCAGGAGUGAAAGCCCGGGGCCCAACCCCGGGACUGCUCUUGGCACUGCGUGGCUAGAGUGCAGGAGGGGCGG
RNAcentral lists this ribosomal RNA (305 nucleotides) under uncultured bacterium. RNAcentral's name for it is "bacterial SSU rRNA". It matches the Rfam family "Bacterial small subunit ribosomal RNA", at positions 338 to 660 of the family's 1533-position model. The record is from RNAcentral.